AGCGAACGCUGGCGGCAGGCCUAACACAUGCAAGUCGAACGAAGUCUUCGGACUUAGUGGCGGACGGGUGAGUAACACGUGGGAACGUACCUUUUGGUUCGGAACAACUCAGGGAAACUUGAGCUAAUACAGGAUAAGCCCUUCGUGGGAAAGGUUUAUCGCCAUUAGAGCGGCCCGCGUUAGAUUAGCUAGUUGGUGAGGUAAAGGCUCACCAAGGCUACGAUCUAUAGCUGGUCUGAGAGGAUGAUCAGCCACACUGGGACUGAGACACGGCCCAGACUCCUACGGGAGGCAGCAGUGGGGAAUCUUGCGCAAUGGGCGAAAGCCUGACGCAGCCAUGCCGCGUGAAUGGUGAAGGUCUUAGGAUUGUAAAAUUCUUUUACCAGGGACGAUAAUGACGGUACCUGGAGAAAAAGCCCCGGCUAACUUCGUGCCAGCAGCCGCAGUAA
RNAcentral lists this ribosomal RNA (449 nucleotides) under uncultured bacterium. Its description in RNAcentral is "partial 16S ribosomal RNA". It matches the Rfam family "Bacterial small subunit ribosomal RNA", at positions 29 to 523 of the family's 1533-position model. The record is from RNAcentral.